UUUUGUGUUCUGCUCCAGAAUCAGCCCCUCCCUUCAAGUGUUCAGUUAAGUUCAGUUAGAGAGACCAACUGUCAUUCUUGCUUCUUGCCUCAUGAUGUUGUUUUAGUUUCUCUCAGACAGUUUGUUAUUGUGUUACAAUUUUCUUUAUUAUUAAAGCUUUGUUUGACAUACACAUGAGCCACUUACUUUGCUGAAAGAAAAGAAACUCUGCUGGAAAAUGGUGGAAUAUCCUAAACUCGUGGGCAACCAGUUGCCGAUGUGAAGCCCUCAUGAAGGAGCCUUGUGGAAUGCACACUCCCCACUUGAAUUCUAGCAAAAUGGUAUUCAGAGGCCACUUAUUAGGAUGUUCCUUAAGGCUUGGAAAGAUGACACACGAUGGUGUUUUUUUGUAGGUAUUGCAGAAAAGUUUCACUAGUUGGAGAUUAUCACUGAACUGUUAAGACGACUACAUCAUUUGAAACAGGAGUUCCAGGCGUUCUGGCGUUCCAGAUUAAACUUGCUUUGGCUUGUUUGUUUUCUAGAUCCCUCUACCAGUUUCUGUAUACUAGAGCCAAUGCAUCUUGUGUGUAUGGCCACUUAACCAAGGAUACAAGGCAGCUGCCACACAGUAUAUUUGUUUCUUCUGACUGGAUUAUUCAGUGGCACUCUCUCCAAAACUGUGAUUACUAAGUAGGAAGUACUAUUUUUCUAUUCUGCACUAGCAAUAUAGUUAAUCAUUAACAAAAGCCAUGAGAAAUGCCUUUCACUGCUAGGGCUUCUAUGGUUAUGACCCGCCCUUUGCAGACAAGCAUCACUCAGACAAUAAACACCUACAGCUACAUCAUCACAGCUCCUGAGGAACAGACACUGUUCCACCUUAUCCCAAAGAGAAUCUGGUUUUGGUUGGCAGCUUAUAAUUAUGAGACAAAAAUGUAUACAUUCUAGAUGAGGAAGAGAGACUUGGGCAUUAUGUAGGAAACUGGCUCUCUUUUAAUUCCUAUAAAAACAUCCCUGGAACUAUUUGUCUACAAUUUGGGAGGCUAAGGCCACUCUGGAGAGACUUCCCUGUACCUGUAAAUUUCAUUCACUUUUUUUUAAAAAAUGGUAAAUUUGUUUAGAUGUUUUUAGAUUCUUGCAUUACAGUUAAGGGGAAAACACACAACUUUGUUUUAUACAGAAUGGUUUGGAUCUCAAAACACAGAUUGAAGCAGAGCAAGUACAGAAACAGACAGAUUCAAGGCAAAUCUUAGUGCCUGCAUACACCACUAGAAAGUGCAUUGUUAACUGCAUGCAUGGAAAAGUUAUAAGGGCUGGAAAGAUGAAACCAGAAUUUAAAAAAUGGGAUCUACAGGAUUAAAAACUAUUAAGAUAUAUGGAUGAAGCUGUGGUUAUGAAAACAGCUGAACACUUUUAAAAA
Molecule: long non-coding RNA, 1396 nt
Organism: Podarcis raffonei (Aeolian wall lizard)
Lineage: Eukaryota; Metazoa; Chordata; Lepidosauria; Squamata; Lacertidae
Exons: 5
Source: RefSeq, a predicted model, not a curated record